Non-coding RNA from Labrus bergylta (ballan wrasse), 314 nucleotides. NCBI's taxonomy places the organism in Eukaryota, Metazoa, Chordata, Actinopteri, Labriformes, Labridae. The record is from RefSeq and is a predicted model, not a curated record.
AUGCAAAUCUAAAACAUGAUGACUGCCAUAUCACAUCCUCCAGGUUUAUUUUCACUUGACUGAACGACGCAGCACUUGAACCAGGCCGUAAAGUCAUCAGCUAAGAAGGAUGCUCAGGAUGCUCAGGAUGCUCAUGGAUGCUCUACGUAAAAACAUGUGGAUAUGGGUGAUCGUCGGGAUGAUCUUUGUGAGUGUGGUGAUCAGCGUCAUCUUCAUUCUCAUCAACAGGUGCAUAUCAAGAAGAGGUUUGUAGGUGAGGAUGAGGCAUGGGGAGCAGUGGAGGAUAUGAAGGACGGAUAUGAUGAGGUCACGGG